AACGAACGCUGGCGGCAUGCCUAACACAUGCAAGUCGAACGAUCCCUCCGGGGGUAGUGGCGCACGGGUGCGUAACGCGUGGGAACCUGCCCUUAGGUUCGGAAUAACUCAGAGAAAUUUGAGCUAAUACCGGAUAAUGUCUUCGGACCAAAGAUUUAUCGCCUUUGGAUGGGCCCGCGUUGGAUUAGCUAGUUGGUGGGGUAAAGGCCUACCAAGGCGACGAUCCAUAGCUGGUCUGAGAGGAUGAUCAGCCACACUGGGACUGAGACACGGCCCAGACUCCUACGGGAGGCAGGAGUGGGGAAUAUUGGACAAUGGGCGAAAGCCUGAUCCAGCAAUGCCGGGUGAGUGAUGAAGGCCUUAGGGUUGUAAAGCUCUUUUACCCGGGAUGAUAAUGACAGUACCGGGAGAAUAAGCCCCGGCUAACUCCGUG
This 433-nucleotide ribosomal RNA is filed under the name uncultured bacterium. RNAcentral describes it as "partial 16S ribosomal RNA". It matches the Rfam family "Bacterial small subunit ribosomal RNA", at positions 29 to 507 of the family's 1533-position model. The record is from RNAcentral.